Molecule: ribosomal RNA, 260 nt
Filed under: Drosophila flexa
Lineage: Eukaryota; Metazoa; Arthropoda; Insecta; Diptera; Drosophilidae
Description: partial 28S ribosomal RNA
Source: RNAcentral
CCCNAAGGUAUCCUGAAUCUUUCGCAUUGUUAAUCAUACAAGUGCAUAUAAUANCCAUAAAAAUCAAUGAUAAUCAUGCCAUUAUAUAAUUCCGAAAAAUUAACGGAUUGUNUUGGUAUAAAUCUAUCAGCACUUUAUCAAAUUUACGACUUUUAUUUUAUGUUAAAAUGCAAGCACUAUAAUUGAAAUAAGCAAAAUGACAUAAUUUUUUGAUAAAUUUAUAUGCUAAUAGAUUACAAUGUCCUUAUAUGGAAAAAAUG